GUAGGAUAGGUGGGAGGCUUUGAAGCGUGGACGCCAGUCUGCGUGGAGCCAUCCUUGAAAUACCACCCUUUAAUGGCUGGUGUUCUAACGUGGACCCGUAAUCCGGGUUGCGGACAGUGUCUGGUGGGUAGUUUGACUGGGGCGGUCUCCUCCUAAAGAGUAACGGAGGAGCACGAAGGUUAGCUAAUCCUGGUCGGACAU
This 201-nucleotide ribosomal RNA is filed under the name Leclercia barmai. RNAcentral's name for it is "partial 23S ribosomal RNA". It matches the Rfam family "Bacterial large subunit ribosomal RNA", at positions 2138 to 2338 of the family's 2925-position model. The record is from RNAcentral. Lineage: Bacteria; Pseudomonadati; Pseudomonadota; Gammaproteobacteria; Enterobacterales; Enterobacteriaceae. RNAcentral also lists the same sequence under 2 other names.